This 111-nucleotide transfer RNA is filed under the name Simkania negevensis. RNAcentral describes it as "tRNA-OTHER". The record is from RNAcentral. Lineage: Bacteria; Pseudomonadati; Chlamydiota; Chlamydiia; Parachlamydiales; Simkaniaceae.
GGAAAAGUCAACUGGAAAGUACUGAUUCUUGCUGAUUGAAAUGGCUUUAAGUCGGACUUGAAAACAGAAGUCCUUUCACGAGGACCGUGGGUUCGAAUCCUACCUCUUCCG